AUGGAUCACCCGUCCACUCUGGUUCCUGCACGCCGCCCGUACCCGCCUGGCGACUGCUCGCUAACC
This 66-nucleotide small RNA is filed under the name Xanthomonas vesicatoria. RNAcentral's name for it is "sX9 sRNA". It matches the Rfam family "Xanthomonas sRNA sX9". Lineage: Bacteria; Pseudomonadati; Pseudomonadota; Gammaproteobacteria; Lysobacterales; Lysobacteraceae. The record is from RNAcentral.